Molecule: unclassified non-coding RNA, 320 nt
Filed under: uncultured fungus
Lineage: Eukaryota; Fungi
Description: sequence contains ITS2
Rfam family: 5.8S ribosomal RNA (bases 1-52)
Source: RNAcentral
AACGCAUCUUGCGCUUGCUGGUAUUCCGGCAAGCAUGCCUGUUUGAGUGUCAUGAAACUUAUCAACCGUGACUUGGGUUUAGGCCCCUGGCUCGGCUUGGAUUUGGGUGCUUGCGGCCUUGCGUCGCUCACCUUAAAAGGAUUAGCUGGACAUGUCGUGAGACUUGGUUCUACUUGGCGUAAUAAGUAUUUCGCUGAGGACAUCCCCUCGUGGGGUGGCCAUGACUCUGGUACAGACGUCUGCUUUCUAACCCGAUCGUCCUCGGACAUCACUUUUUAUGAUCUGGCCUCAAAUCAGGUAGGACUACCCGCUGAACUUAA